This 377-nucleotide ribosomal RNA is filed under the name Haplophthalmus mengei. RNAcentral describes it as "16S ribosomal RNA". It matches the Rfam family "Bacterial large subunit ribosomal RNA", at positions 1947 to 2561 of the family's 2925-position model. Lineage: Eukaryota; Metazoa; Arthropoda; Malacostraca; Isopoda; Trichoniscidae. The record is from RNAcentral.
UGUGCUAAGGUAGCAUAAUCACUAGUCUAUUAAUUGUAAACUCGAAUGAACGAUUUGACGAGAAAACUCCUGUCUUUAUUUAAUUUUUUAACUUUAUUUAAAGGUAAAAAAGCCUUUGAAUUAUAAAAAGACGACAAGACCCUAGAAUCUACUAUAUUGCUCUAAAAUACCUCUAAUACUUUAAGUAGCGUACGUUAGUUUACUGGGGCGGUAUAAAUUUUUUUCAAUUUAAAAAUCUACGUUCUGAACGAGUUAUAUUCAACCUACCUGUAAACAAUUAGAUACUCUAGGGAUAACAGCACAAUUUACCUCUAGUGCCCUUAUCGAUAGAUAAUUUGUGACCUCGAUGUUGAAUUAGCUCUACUUAAUUUAAGCAG